Molecule: RNA transcript, 2049 nt
Organism: Solanum stenotomum
Lineage: Eukaryota; Viridiplantae; Streptophyta; Magnoliopsida; Solanales; Solanaceae
Gene name: glucan endo-1,3-beta-glucosidase 11-like
Exons: 4
Source: RefSeq, a predicted model, not a curated record
GAAUUCAAAACUUUACUAUAAUUAGACUUUAGUCUGAAAAUAAUUUUCACAGCCAAAAACUCGCCGGAAACCACCACUCAAGAAAACAACACUAGUAGUAUCAUAUAUACAAAAUUUUUUACUUUAUAGAGAAUUUUUUUUUUCAAGAAUCUUGAAAGUUUAGAGUUUUAUGAUUGUGGGGUUUUUGUGAAAAAGUGAUAGGCUGUGUAAAAAAGGGUGUAUUGGGUGAUGGCUGAAGAAGCUAAAGGAGUGAGCUUUUGAAUUUUGGAAGAGCAAAAGGGACGGACGACGUCGUUUUUAAGUUGUGCAGUGAUGAAGAUUCUUCUCAGAUUCCUUUUUAUGUUAUUGGUGAUCUUUAAUCCUAAUGCUCAACAGACUGCAAGAGCGUUCACAGGAACAUAUGGGAUUAAUUACGGAAGAAUUGCAGAUAACAUCCCUUCACCUGAUAAAGUGGUUAAACUUCUUCGGGCAGCAAAGAUUAAGAAUGUUAGAAUUUAUGAUGCAGAGCCUAGUGUCCUUAAUGCGUUUAAAGGAACAGGGCUUGAGCUAGUGGUUGGACUUCCUAAUGGGUUUGUAAAAGAAAUGAGUGCUAAUGCAGAUCAUGCUCUGAAUUGGGUAAAAGAUAAUGUGAAGGCAUUCCUUCCUGAUACCCGCAUUGUUGGCAUCGCUGUUGGAAAUGAAGUUUUGGGGGGUAGUGACAAUGAAAUGGAGGUAGCCCUUCUGAAUGCUGUAAAGAAUGUAUAUAAUGCAACAAAAAAGCUUGGGAUAAGUGAUGUUGUUCAGAUAUCGACCGCACACUCGCAGGCUGUUUUUGCUGAUUCAUUCCCUCCUUCUUAUUGUGUAUUUAAAGAUGGUGUUGCUCAGUUGAUGAAGCCACUUUUAGAGUUUUUCUCGAAAAUUGGAUCUCCAUUCUGUUUAAAUGCUUAUCCGUUUUUGGCUUACACGUACAACCCAGAUAAAAUAGACAUAAAUUAUGCUCUUUUUCAGCCAAAUGAAGGCAUUGUUGACAAUAAAACUCAUCUACAUUAUGAUAACUUGCUCGAUGCUCAGAUUGAUGCAGCGUAUGCAGCUCUAGAGGAUGCUGGUUUCAGGAAAAUGGAAGUCAUAGUUACUGAAACAGGCUGGGCCUCUGAUGGGGAUGAGAAUGAACCUGCUGCCACCCCAAGUAAUGCUAGAACAUAUAAUUAUAAUCUGCGUAAAAGGCUUGCCAAGAGGAAAGGAACUCCAUUGAGGCCGAAAAAAAUGUUGAAGGCAUAUAUUUUUGCACUCUUCAAUGAGUAUCAAAAGACGGGUCAAUCAUCAGAGAAGAACUUCGGACUCUUCAAAGCUGAUGGUAGUAUAUCUUAUGAUGUUGGUUUCUCUGGGCUGCAAGAUAUUUCAGCUGCGUCUUCGCUUUUGUCUUUAAAGGAGGAGGACUGGAAAGAGGUUGAGAGUAUGUACCAGAGUUGAUGAGGGGGGUGAAAAGGGUUAGAUCCAUUGGCUAAAACUAGACUUCUUUUUCGGUUACUAAGUACUUGAAAAGCUUCCUGUUCUGCUACUUAGAACUUUUGUAGAAAGAGGAAAUGAGCAGAGGAAAAAAAAAGAAAAGGAAAGAAGAGAAGAAGGCAAGUAAGUUUGUAAAGUUCAUCACUUUGAAGCUUAUGGUAUAAAUUGUCUUUUCAGAUCUGGUUUUGAUAAGUGAUGUACUAUGAUCAUUUUCAGCAUGGAUAUCAUGCUGUUCUUGGUGUCUCCAAGACUGUUGGUGCCUGAGUUGGAACUUUGGAAAUACUGGGAAUUCAAGCUCAAGGGUAUUAUUUGUCAGCGACAGCAAUCACGACUUCAAUAUCGAUUCUGCUGUCGAGGUUAUGACAACAUUUUUUGAUCUCAUCUUAUACGAAAUACCAGAUUAGCGUCUCGAGUUUCCUAGUUACAGAAACUGCUACAACGACAACAUUAGGAAUGCAGUCUCUUAGAUCUUCAUCGCUAGUCGUCCAUGGAGAUUGCUGAUUGUUUUUGAAUUUUUCAGCAAUGCAGAAUCAGUAUAUAUGAAAUAAGUUCUUUCUUGGUUUA